ACGUUCGUAAGUGGUCAGGGGAUACACAUACCCUAGCCAUUGGUAGUGCAGAGGAAAUGUGGGAAGAACUGUCCAGUGUUUGGAAGGUCCACACCCAUGCCUUCCAGUGCUGGGAUGUUUCCUACA
Molecule: small nucleolar RNA, 126 nt
Organism: Grammomys surdaster
Lineage: Eukaryota; Metazoa; Chordata; Mammalia; Rodentia; Muridae
Product: small nucleolar RNA SNORA71
Exons: 1
Source: RefSeq, a predicted model, not a curated record